This is a long non-coding RNA of Neopsephotus bourkii (Bourke's parrot), 540 nucleotides long. RefSeq lists it as uncharacterized. The record is from RefSeq and is a predicted model, not a curated record. The transcript is spliced from 3 exons. Lineage: Eukaryota; Metazoa; Chordata; Aves; Psittaciformes; Psittacidae.
AAGUUCCAAAAUGUCAAGCUGCAUGAGCAGGGUGUAGCCUUACAAGUACGUGGUAAUACUGUAAGCAUCAUUUUUCACUUUCCAUAAUGAAAAGGUGGUUGAAUUCAUAUCUCUCCAUGCUUAAAAAUAACAGCUAUAAACUGAAAUCAAGAAGGGGAAAUUUCAGCCCAGCUAAUGAAAAUCAGCAUUUUCAGCCUUGUUUAAUUCUGCUGCUUUCCUGAAACCACUGGAAACUCUGCUGCAGCUGAUGAAAAGAUUGAGACUGAGAGAAAAGAAGCAAUUUAUUCAAGGUCACCUGGAGAGCUAAUGAUACAGCUGGAAGGAAACCCAAUGAAUUCAGAGGUCUGGGCCAGUUCUCUAGUCAAGUGUGGUACUGCCUGCUUUGCUUCCAGCUGUUCCUAGUUUCCUGAAGAAAACAGACUCACCCACUAUAGUUUCCAACCAGAAUGUGGCUUCCAGCUUCAGGACUCCAUGAUGUAGUGUGUCCUGUUUUUAAUUUAGGAGAUCUUAGUCUGCUUUAUCUUCUAAAAUACAAAUAUU